CGCGCGGGACCAGCAGGCACGUCCCCGCUUGGAGACUGUCUGGAGUCUGUCUGAAAUUGAUAACAAUUGGAGAUGGAGUUUUAAUUGGCAUCAGGAAGACGCUGGUUGGAAAUGGAUUUUUAUUUCUCGCGCUACUCCUAGAAAACACCUUCGCCAAAAAGAGUCUCCUUGCUGAGAUAUACAUGUAUUUUCUUUAAACGCUGUGAAAGUUUUUUCUCCUGCAGUGUGUCAGCAGCAGACAGCUCUUUAUUCCCAGGCUCUGCAGGGGAUCAUCCGUCAGCCUUGAGUUCAGGAGGAGUGCACCAUCCAGCCUGCACAAGGGCCUGAUCCAGUGUCUCACAAAUGACUGGUAUUGCAAUUAGGAAAGAGAUCCAGGGUUGUCCUGCAGCCUGUCAUGCCUCCAUGCCCUCUCUGUUGCAGUGUGACCGCCCCAUGGUCUGGCUGCCACUUCAUAACAACUCUAUUGCAGCAACUGCCUGGUGGAGAAUCUUAAGUGCAGAGUGGACGAGGAGGAAGAUGUCAUGCUAAGGAUGGGUUUUGGGGAGGAUGAUGCUGCUGUUGAUGCUCUCACUUUGUGCCUCUGUCAGUUGUGAUGCGUAACCACAGAGUGAGUGACAGUUGGGUCCCGAGGGAGAGCAGGGGGCCUGAGGAUUGUCUUCCACGUCACCAGCGCUCAGCACUAUGGAGUUACUACAAAAGGUGACGCGCAGAGGAGGAUUUGUGAAUGGACGCCGUGAUGUGUGCAGCUCACAGAUCAGAGGGUGCUGGGACCUCUUCUGCAGAUGCACCCCCCCCCACACACACACACACACACACACACACACACACACACACACACACACACACACACACACACACACACACACACACACACACUCUCUCCAGAUGAAUGGGGGUCUCUAAUAUCAGCUCUGUCACCAUGCAGGGCUCGCACCAAAUCCUCCAGCUUCCUGUGCCUUUCAAAACCCUGAAAGCCAGCCUCUGCUUUUUGGUGAUCCUGUAUGAUUUUGUUGUUGUUGUUGUCAUGCUUUAGAGGGCCUGGAAGCCGCCCUGUUUUUUGUUUUUAUCACGGCUCAGGCCAGAGCAGCAGCCGAAUGAGAGAUGAUUAGAACCGGGCCUAAUUACGCAAAGUGCAAAAAAUCCGAAAAGCAAAUUAAUCUAAAAAUACAUUUAAGUGAUUUGGAGAGUGACUUCCACCUGUGAUGUUCUUAAUUACGUGUAGUGUGUUGGAAAUGGGAGAACUGGUCAAAGCACCAAAAAUACAUGGUAAAUAAAAGACAUUUAGAUGAAUAAAAAGCAAUUAUUUGUCAAAUCAUGAAUAUUUUUGCAGCGUAAAACACGAACCUCUUUCUGAUUAGCGUGCGUAAUUUAACUUUUUCUAAAAUAUGCUACUGUACCAUGCUCAAUAUUCUACUUUCUACUUUCUACUAUGUAAACUAUACACUAUAUUCUAUUUAUAAGGUCAUUGCAUGAUUUACAACUUGUAUUUUUAAGUCUAAUUUGUCAUUUUUACGUCUAGUCAUCCAGAAAUCAUAGUUUACUCCAUUCUUUAUUCACCCUCCCGCAUGAUGUCUAUAUAAUUUCCGUGGUGUGUGCGUGUGUGUGCGCGUGUGUGUGUGUGUGUUUACAGAUGAAUCCUCUGUACUUUGAGGCUGCAGGCUCUUCUGGUGUCAGGCCUUUUAUAGGUUUUAAUAACUCCUAAUCCUUCUGAUCGCUCUGGCGAAGAUAAGUCUCAUUUGAAUGCGGAUUGUUCUUAAGGAGCGGCGCGUAUUUCUGCACAGCAACAUGUGCGCCACCCUGAGCGCAAUUAAGGCCUCAGCUAAAUUGGACGACGGCUAACUGAAUGCAGCUGAUCUCCCUUCAGAAGACUGCUCACAAAUAUGAGGAAGACGUGCACGUGCAGUCUUUGAUUUCUUAAUAAUUCCGUAAAAUAAGUCAAACUCCUGCAUGAAUUAACAUCAAGGCGAACACUGUUUAGUUGCUGAUAAAAAGUGAAGUUUCUGCAGGUUAAUGAAGUUGUGACCAAAUACAAACUGUAUUUAAAGUUUACUACAUUUAAAAUAGAUUUUGCCCGAGUGGAAAUAGUUAUUUUUUUAGAGCUAUGAUUAGUGUGUAAAUCCUAAACAGGCUGAUUAGGAGACUGAGAGGCUGGAGCAGGAGAUCAGGCUUUCUGAAUCAUUUAUUGACAAAAUACGGAAUUUUAAAUCGGAGAGAAACACGCCUUCCAGCUCUGAAUAACAACCAGGAGACAUACAAGUUAUAGCAAAACUAACACAGAAAAUAUGUUUGUAUUAUUCAUUUAGAAUUGUAAAUGAAGUCAAAACCUAAAUGAAGUGCGCAAAAAGAGAAAUGAAGGCUCAUAAAAACGCAUGGUUUACUAAAGUAUACUUUAAAUUGGAGGUACUUUAACAU
This is a long non-coding RNA of Gymnodraco acuticeps, 2412 nucleotides long. RefSeq lists it as uncharacterized. The record is from RefSeq and is a predicted model, not a curated record. The transcript is spliced from 7 exons. Lineage: Eukaryota; Metazoa; Chordata; Actinopteri; Perciformes; Bathydraconidae.